Non-coding RNA from Acanthosepion pharaonis, 94 nucleotides. NCBI's taxonomy places the organism in Eukaryota, Metazoa, Mollusca, Cephalopoda, Sepiida, Sepiidae. The record is from the annotation of a GenBank genome assembly.
CGUUGAAACAUCGAUUCUUGUCCGAUCACCGAAGGUAAGCAACGUUACACCUGAUCAGUACCUUGGUGGGUGACCGCUUGGAAAUACCAGGUAC